GACUAUAAAAAAACUUGUCUGUAAAACAAGGUUCAGCCUAGCUAAUAGUCG
This 51-nucleotide transfer RNA is filed under the name Xiphinema americanum. Its description in RNAcentral is "tRNA-Tyr". Lineage: Eukaryota; Metazoa; Nematoda; Enoplea; Dorylaimida; Longidoridae. The record is from RNAcentral.